GUAUAGGGGACUUUUGGGAUAGCAUUUGAAAUGUAAAUGAAGAAAAUAUCUAAUAAAAAUUGUUUUUGAAUUAAAAAAAAAAAGAAAGAAAGAUGGCAGGUGGCUGUAAGGACCUCAUUAGACCUCCAAAGUCCUUCAUUGGCUUGUAGAUUUGAUCCUUUGACCUCUGAACUUGCUUGGGAAGGUUUGGGAGCUUUUAGGAUGUGGAACCUUGCUGGAAGAAUGACAUUGGAGGGGUGGGUUGGGAUAAGCUUUGAGGUUUUAUAGUCUUAUUCCAGUUCCUGUUCCCCCCACCCCCCCAUUCCUGUGUAUGGUCAGCCAACUUCUCACCCUACUGCCUGGAUGUCGCUAUGGUGAAUUCUAUCUGGAACUGUAAUCAAACAAAUGAAACAAACAAAAACACCCAAACCAUUUUCUUUCUUAUGUUGCUUUGGUCAGAGUAUUUUUCUAUAAUAACUAAUACGGUGAUAAUUUUCAAAAAUAAGGCUCUCUCAUGACUAUGUGAGCACACACAUGGUCAGAACACACCAAGGUAAUGUGAGGGACAGCCAUAGAUUUCACGAGGAUGGAGUGAGGCAGAGCAGCCAUUUGCCACUGCAUCUGUAGGGAGAUGAUGGGAAGUCAGUGCUGUAGCCCACUGAUGGGUCAAAAGCUAGAGUCGAGCUUGAAGAGACCAAGCUGAGACCCCACCAGCAUUUUGUGCAUCAGUGACAUGAGGAUUGAAGACACCAUUCUUUCAUUUGACGCAACACAGAGCAGCACCAGGGCUCUGGCAAGUGACAUCACACAGGGACAGCUAGGCACCUCCGUGUCACCAGGCAACACACAGGAUUGUAUAGUUUCUGAGAUAUUGCUGUCACUUUACCCCUAUGGCUUCAGCCCAGGAAAAGCUAAGCACCUCUUAGCGUCUGAUGUCUCUUCUCUAGCCAUCCACCCGUAGUGGCACACUACACACGCUUCAGUGUUUGUUUUCUGUACAGGUGAAAGAAGAAAUGUUUUACACAGCUUUCCAUAGGUCUUCUGGGAAGUCUCAGAGAUACAGGCAAAGGUUGUCAUUUAGUACAUUGUCCUUAUCAAGAGCUGUUAUGUCUGAAUGCUGACUGAGCUGAGAUCAAGAGCGACCAAGAAGAAUGCUUGACUCUCUGUGUGUGUGCGAUUGUAUAUAUCAGUAUGUGCACCUCUGCACAUGCAGAGGCUGAGGAAGACAUCAGGCAUCCUGUUCUUGUACUCUGCCUGAUUCCCCUGAGACAGGAUCUCUCAAUGUACCCAUAGCUAGGCUGGUAGCCAAUGAAACGCCUUAACCCUCCUGUCUCUGAGUUAGUCUCAUACAGAGUGUUUUCUGUGAGUGCUUCAGGGAUUCAAACUUGUAUCUUUAUGCUUACACGGCAACCACAGUUACUUACCAAGACACCACCUGUUUGCCUACUUAACCGGCUUGGUGACAAAGUAUUUUAAAUAAAAAUGAUUGCAAAGGAUCUCAACUCUUUCCUCAGUAGGGGACUUCUAGGGUUACUUUGUUUGUUUGUUUUAAUUAUAAAGAGCAUAACGAGGUAACAUCAAGUCAGUGAUGAUUGUGACCCACAGACUUUCUGGUGUGUGAAUUAUGAGACAGAGUAACAGCAAUUGACCACAGCUUGUUAGGAACAGAAGAAUCUGCCUUAUCAGAGUGGAAGCCAAAUGCUUUCACUUUUAGCCAGUACAGUAUUUCAUAUUAAGUGUAGUAUUUAUUAAAUAAAGUAUAUUUAUUAAUUAAAUAUGAUUUAAUUUAAUUUUAUAAAUAUUUAAUGUAAUGAGUAAUAUUAAAGUAUUUUAUUAGGUUUUUUUGGAAAACAUUAUUUAAAAACUCCUUAAGCUGCCAGUAACGGUAAACCCCUAGAAUCCCAGCACUUAGGAGGCUGAAGGAAGAUGAUGAUACCAAGUUCAAGAGCAGCCCGGGUGGCAAUAGUGACAGCUGGUCUAAAUAAAUGAAUGAUGGAUAAAUGCUCUUCAGGCCAUAGGCAGCUAAGAGCAUAAGAAAUAAUUCCCUUUAGAGAGAUCUACAGCUUUCAUCUUUCUACGGAUGUCAUGGUACAUCUAAAACU
RNAcentral lists this long non-coding RNA (2081 nucleotides) under Mus musculus (house mouse). RNAcentral describes it as "long non-coding RNA chr1:34757100-34759181". The record is from RNAcentral. Lineage: Eukaryota; Metazoa; Chordata; Mammalia; Rodentia; Muridae.